UUAGGGGGUUUCCGCCCCUUAGUGCUGCAGCUAACGCAUUAAGCACUCCGCCUGGGGAGUACGACCGCAAGGUUGAAACUCAAAGGAAUUGACGGGGGCCCGCACAAGCGGUGGAGCAUGUGGUUUAAUUCGAAGCAACGCGAAGAACCUUACCAGGUCUUGACAUCCUUUGACCACUCUGGAGACAGAGCUUUCCCUUCGGGGACAAAGUGACAGGUGGUGCAUGGUUGUCGUCAGCUCGUGUCGUGAGAUGUUGGGUUAAGUCCCGCAACGAGCGCAACCCUUGAUUUUAGUUGCCAGCAUUUAGUUGGGCACUCUAAAGUGACUGCCGGUGCAAGCCGGAGGAAGGUGGGGAUGACGUCAAAUCAUCAUGCCCCUUAUGACCUGGGCUAC
RNAcentral lists this ribosomal RNA (393 nucleotides) under Listeria monocytogenes. RNAcentral describes it as "bacterial SSU rRNA". It matches the Rfam family "Bacterial small subunit ribosomal RNA", at positions 823 to 1217 of the family's 1533-position model. The record is from RNAcentral. Lineage: Bacteria; Bacillati; Bacillota; Bacilli; Caryophanales; Listeriaceae.